Molecule: ribosomal RNA, 216 nt
Filed under: Glomeromycotina sp.
Lineage: Eukaryota; Fungi; Glomeromycota
Description: partial small subunit ribosomal RNA
Rfam family: Eukaryotic small subunit ribosomal RNA (bases 40-216)
Source: RNAcentral
GGGUCAGUAGGUUGGUCGUGCCACCGGUACGUACUGGUCUCACUGAUUCCUCCUUCCUGAAGAACCGUAAUGCCAUUAAUUUGGUGUUGCGGGGAAACAGGACUGUUACUUUGAAGAAAUUAGAGUGUUUAAAGCAAGCUAACGCUUGGAUACAUUAGCAUGGAAUAAUGAAAUAGGACGAUCGAUCCUAUUUUGUUGGUUUCUAGGAUUGACGUA